RNAcentral lists this ribosomal RNA (468 nucleotides) under uncultured bacterium. Its description in RNAcentral is "partial 16S ribosomal RNA". It matches the Rfam family "Bacterial small subunit ribosomal RNA", at positions 28 to 507 of the family's 1533-position model. The record is from RNAcentral.
GACGAACGCUGGCGGCGUGCUUAACACAUGCAAGUCGAACGGAAAGGCCCUGCUUUUGUGGGGUGCCCGAGUGGCGAACGGGUGAGUAACACGUGAGUAACCUGCCCUUGACUUUGGGAUAACUUCAGGAAACUGGGGCUAAUACCGGAUAGGAGCUCCCGCUGCAUGGUGGGGGUUGGAAAGUUUCGGCGGUUGGGGAUGGAUUCGCGGCUUAUCAGUUUGUUGGUGGGGGAGUGGCUUACCAAGGCAUUGAAGGGUAGCCGGCCUGAGAGGGUGACCGGCCACAAUGGUACUGAGGUACGGCCCAGACUGCUACGGGGGGCAGCAGUGGGGAAUAUUGCACAAUGGGCGGAAGCCUGAGGCAGCGACGCCGCGUGCGGAAUGACGGCCUUCGGGUUGUAAACCGCUUUCGCCUGUGACGAAGCGUGAGUGACGGUAAUGAGUAAAGAAGCACCGGCUAACUACGUG